This 549-nucleotide long non-coding RNA is filed under the name Takifugu rubripes (torafugu). Its description in RNAcentral is "lncRNA (ENSTRUG00000032917.1)". Lineage: Eukaryota; Metazoa; Chordata; Actinopteri; Tetraodontiformes; Tetraodontidae. The record is from RNAcentral.
CACCUAUUUGGGAAACCUCAGCUAAGCUAAGAGGCUAAGUGGGCUCUGAUGUCGACUUCCUGUUUCUUGGACCGGACGUGGGACCACGAUGGAGCCUGGUUUUAAAUUAGCUUAUCUUCAGAAAGAAGGAGCCAAAUCCUGAUCUCUUCCAGGAGAAGACAGAGCAUCAAUUGACGACAACCUUUAAUUACAACCAGUUUCUCCUCCAACAGUCAUGCACCUCCCAUGGCACGCAGUGGUGCUGGAGCAUUAUAUAUGCUCCAGCACACAUCUGCAAGGCAAGGUGAUGCCUGCGCUACCAAGUCCAGCACGCCUAAGCCGCCUGAGGAAGUGGCGGCGCUGGUUGGCUUUCCUGACCAGACUGAAAGUGAUGUUGCUCCAGCUGGAUUCUUCACUCAGGUGGCCGCCAAGGUAUCUAUAGCUGGAGACCACACAUCUUCAGAUGUGCAGCAGGAGAUCUUCCACCUCCUCACUGUUGCUGGACUCAUUGCUGUUGCUGAUGCAUCGGAGCACUGUCGCACGCAAACUGGACAACAUUUGAGGAUCUGA